Molecule: transfer RNA, 72 nt
Filed under: Bos taurus (domestic cattle)
Lineage: Eukaryota; Metazoa; Chordata; Mammalia; Artiodactyla; Bovidae
Also listed under: 2 other names
Rfam family: tRNA
About the family: Transfer RNA (tRNA) molecules are approximately 80 nucleotides in length. Their secondary structure includes four short double-helical elements and three loops (D, anti-codon, and T loops). Further hydrogen bonds mediate the characteristic L-shaped molecular structure. tRNAs have two regions of fundamental functional importance: the anti-codon, which is responsible for specific mRNA codon recognition, and the 3' end, to which the tRNAs corresponding amino acid is attached (by aminoacyl-tRNA synthetases). tRNAs cope with the degeneracy of the genetic code in two manners: having more than one tRNA (with a specific anti-codon) for a particular amino acid; and 'wobble' base-pairing, i.e. permitting non-standard base-pairing at the 3rd anti-codon position.
Source: Rfam by way of RNAcentral
UCCCUGGAGGUCCAGUGGUUAGGACUCAGCAUUUUCACUGCUGUGGCCCAGGUUCAAUACUUGGUCACGGAA